AUAUUGCACAAUGGGCGAAAGCCUGAUGCAGCAACGCCGCGUGAGUGAUGAAGGCCUUCGGGUCGGAAAACUCUGUCCUCAAGGAAGAUAAUGACGGUACUUGAGGAGGAAGCCCCGGCUAACUACGGGCCAGCAGCGGCGGUAAUACGUAGGGGGCUAGCGUUAGCCGGAUUUACUGGGCGUAAAGGGUGCGUAGGCGGUCUUGCAAGUCAGGAGUGAAAGGCUACGGCUCAACCGUAGUAAGCUCUUGAAACUGGGAGACUUGAGUGCAGGAGAGGAGAGUGGAAUUCCUAGUGUAGCGGUGAAAUGCGUAGAUAUUAGGAGGAACACCAGUU
RNAcentral lists this ribosomal RNA (335 nucleotides) under Clostridioides difficile. RNAcentral describes it as "bacterial SSU rRNA". It matches the Rfam family "Bacterial small subunit ribosomal RNA", at positions 361 to 714 of the family's 1533-position model. The record is from RNAcentral. Lineage: Bacteria; Bacillati; Bacillota; Clostridia; Peptostreptococcales; Peptostreptococcaceae.